RNAcentral lists this long non-coding RNA (2439 nucleotides) under Homo sapiens (human). Its description in RNAcentral is "HSALNT0098324". The record is from RNAcentral. Lineage: Eukaryota; Metazoa; Chordata; Mammalia; Primates; Hominidae.
GGAAAACUUUGAGGAGGUCCCGGAGAAUGACCAGCAACCUCACAGACAGAAUCCUGGAGGCAAAUGAACUGAUGAACCUGGCAGAUUUCCCAUCUUCAAACAAUGAUGGUUCAUGCUGACACUCUGUCCCUGGCUGCAGAGGGCACCUCUUUUUUUGUUCACCUGACAAAAAACAACAAUUGGAUUGGUCUCUCCCAGACCACGUGGUCCUCACAGGCUGCCCAUCAUGGGCCUCAACUCCCCUGACCACGUGGGACAGGCACAAGACCCACAGUACUCUGUUCAGACUCUCUCUCAGGCAUCUGAAAUUUCCAUGGAGACAGAAGGACAAAAGGACAGAGCUGUCUUUUCAACAAAUGUUGCUGGGAGAACUGGAUAUCUACUUGCCGAAGAAUGAAGUCAUACCCUUAUCUCACAGUAUCUACAAAAACUAGCUUAAAAUAGACUAAAGAGCUAAACGGAAAAGUUAAAAUUAUAAAACAUAAGGAGAAAGCUUCAUGGCAUUGGAUUUGGCAGUGAUUUCUUCUUUAUGACACUAAAAGCACAGGCGACAAAAGAAAAAAGACGGAAAUUGGACUCCAAAAUGAAGAAUUUUGCACAUCAAAAGGCACUGUAAACAGAGUAAAAAGACAACCUAUAGGCCGGGCGCGUGGGGCUCACGCCUGUAAUCCCAACACUUUGGGAAGCCGAGGCAGGUGGAUCAUGAAGUCAGGAGAUCGAGACCAUCCUGGCUAACACGGUGAAACCUUAAAAAUACAAAAACAAAAUGAGCCGGGCGUGGUGGCGGGCACCUGUAGUCCCAGCUACUAGAGAGGCUGAGGCGGGAGAAUGGCGUGAACCCAGGAGGCGGAGCUUGCAGCGAGCCGAGAUCGCGCCACUGCACUACAGAGCAAGACUCCGUCUCAAAAAAAAAAAAAAAAGAAAAGAAAAAAAGACAACCUAUAGAAUGCGAGAAAAUGUUUGUAAAUCAAAUUCCUAAUAAAAAAUUAAUAUUCAUAAUAUGUAAAGGACUCCUAUAACUCAACAACAACAAUUAAAAACUAGGCAAAGGACUUCAAUAGACAUUUCUCCAAAUAAGUUAUACAAAUGGCCAAUGAGCCCAGGAAGAGAUGUUCAGCAUCACUAAUCAUUAGGGAAAUGGAAACCAAAACCACAGUGAGAUCCCACCUCACACCCAUUAGGAUGGCUACUAUCAAACAAGCAGAGAAUAGCAGGUGUUGGUGAGGAUGUAGAGGGAUUGGAAGGAACUCUUGCGCAUUGCUGGUGGAAAUGUAAAAUGGUGCAGCUACUAUGGAAAGCAGCACAGAAGUUCCUCAAAAACUUAAAAAUAGAAUUACCAUAUGAUCCAGCAAUUUUGUUUCUAGGUGCAUACCCAAAGGAAUUGAAGGCUGGAACUCAAAGAGUUAUUUGUACACCUAUGUUUGCAACAGCAUCAUUUACAGUAGUGUGAAAAGAUCACCGUGGGCAUGUUAACAUUUUAAAGCAUUUAUGUGAGCAGACAAUGAUUCAUGAAUCUGGUAGCACCAAACUGCAAGUAGUUUGGGCUCCACCAAGAGGGUGUGAGGGGAAAAUUGUUAAAAGGUGAUCAUGAAAGCAAGACAAAGAAAAUAUUUGAUUGGCUAAGGCAGGAAGUCUCCAGUUAGAGGUCAGCUGGAGGUUUCUGAUUGGUAAAUUCUGUAGUGAGAGGUUAGUUAGCAGUUUCUGAAUGGUUAAGCUGGGGUUUCAUUUUCCCAGGCUAUGGUCACUCACACUGAAUGGGGUUUCAGUUUGCUUAUGUAGGAAUCCAAGGUGCUGGGUUCUCAGCCAAAUGGACUCCAAAUUAAUUGUUUUUAACAAUAGCCAAAAGGUUAAUCAGCUCAAAUGUCCACUGAUGGAAUGAGUCAAUUAAUUUGUUUACUUGUCCAUGAAUGAGUAAACAAAAUGUGGUAUAUACAUACAAUUAAAUAUUAUUCAGCCUUAAAAAGGAAGAAAAUUCUGACCCAUGCCAUAAUGUGGAUGAACUUUGAAGACAUUACGCUAAGUAAGAUAAGCCAGUCACAAAAAUAACAAACUCUGUGUGAUUCCCCUCAUAGGGGGUCCAUAGUCAAAUUCAUAGAAACAGAAUAGUGGUUGUGGGGGCUGGGCAGAGGGGGAGUCAUUGUCUAAUUUGUGGUGUUAAAUUAAGCUUAGCCUAAAGCUGACUGCUUACAUAUUUUAAGUUUAGCCUAAAGAUCCCUCCAUACAUGGUGAACUGUCUCCUAACUGGAUGUAUGAACAGAUUGUAACCUACUCUUGUACCAGUCACUGAGUUUCUGCAAAUCAAAGGUGACCAGACCCUGUUUAAAUACGGCAAACAUUGAGCUGUAGCCAAUACAGUAGUUUCUGCACCUCACUUCCAGUUUCUGUACAUUACUUUCCUUUUUCUGUCCAGCGAUCUUUGACCAUGCUGCAGCAACGGGG